UACAGAGGUCUCAAGCGUUGUUCGGAUUCAUUGGGCGUAAAGGGUGCGUAGGCGGCGCGGUAAGUCGGGUGUGAAAUCUCGGAGCUUAACUCCGAAACUGCAUUCGAUACUGCCGUGCUUGAGGACUGGAGAGGAGACUGGAAUUUACGGUGUAGCGGUGAAAUGCGUAGAUAUCGAGAGGAACACCAGUGGCGAAGGCGAGUCUCUGGACGACUCCUGACACUGAGGCACGAAAGCUAGGGGAGCAAACAGG
This 253-nucleotide ribosomal RNA is filed under the name uncultured bacterium. RNAcentral's name for it is "partial 16S ribosomal RNA". It matches the Rfam family "Bacterial small subunit ribosomal RNA", at positions 524 to 776 of the family's 1533-position model. The record is from RNAcentral.